Molecule: ribosomal RNA, 207 nt
Filed under: uncultured bacterium
Lineage: Bacteria
Description: partial 16S ribosomal RNA
Rfam family: Bacterial small subunit ribosomal RNA
Source: RNAcentral
CUCGUAGGCGGUUCGUCACGUCGGGAGUGAAAACUCGGAGCUUAACUCCGAGCCUGCUUCCGAUACGGGCAGACUAGAGGUAGGCAGGGGAGAGCGGAACUCCUGGUGUAGCGGUGGAAUGCGCAGGUAUCAGGAAGAACACCGGUGGCGAAGGCGGCUCUCUGGGCCUUACCUGACGCUGAGGAGCGAAAGCGUGGGUAGCGAACA